UAGGGAAUCUUCCGCAAUGGACGAAAGUCUGACGGAGCAACGCCGCGUGAGUGAAGAAGGAUUUCGGUUCGUAAAACUCUGUUGUUAGGGAAGAAAAAAUGUAUAGUAACUAUAUACAAAAGAGACGGUACCUAACCAGAAAGCCACGGCUAACUACGUGCCAGCAGCCGCGGUAAUACGUAGGUGGCAAGCGUUGUCCGGAAUUAUUGGGCGUAAAGCGCGCGCAGGUGGUUUAGAAAGUCUGAUGUGAAAGCCCACGGCUCAACCGUGGAGGGUCAUUGGAAAAUAAUAAACUUGAGUGCAGGAGAGAAAAGUGGAAUUCCUAGUGUAGCGGUGAAAUGCGUAGAGAUUAGGAGGAACACCGGUGGCGAAAGCGGCUUUUUGGCCUGCAACUGACACUGAGGCGCGAAAGCGUGGGGAGCAAACAGG
This 429-nucleotide ribosomal RNA is filed under the name Verrucomicrobiota bacterium. Its description in RNAcentral is "Verrucomicrobia bacterium partial 16S ribosomal RNA". It matches the Rfam family "Bacterial small subunit ribosomal RNA", at positions 355 to 776 of the family's 1533-position model. Lineage: Bacteria; Pseudomonadati; Verrucomicrobiota. The record is from RNAcentral.